GAUCACGUGAUCAGCAGCAAACGAACCGAGCACCGAUACAUUUGCUUCGCCUUGCACUGGUUCAUAUUUCGACACAAGCUUCGAAGCAGGAGGGUCGGAGGAGCUGUGGUCUCCCCCUGUUCAUUCCUGAAGGGUGUGGCUGGAACAGCGGACGGCAUUCAGCCAUCAGGGGACUCUCAUAUCAUCCCGGGUCUUCCUGCCAUUCAGCGCCAGAUCGUUCCAACGUCAGAGUGGUAAACUACUUUUUCAGGCCAUCUGGCUGCUCGCUGUGGAUUAGACGCUGUCUUUGUUUCUGUUCUUUUUCUGUUUUUGCCCUAGUGCUUGAGGAUUCCUACCUGCCGGCUGGCAGGCUCUCAGAGUCCGGUCUCCCCCCCCCGACUCAACCGGUACCUGUGUGCCAAAUUGUGUGUGUACGAUCUGAAUAAACACCUUGUUUUCACGUCGGAAGAACCUUCCUUUGAGUCCUGUGUGCUGCGCUUGGGCCCACGCCCAUCUACCUCACCGUAACUGUCAGGGGUGCCUGGGGAAGGCCGGACUCAAGAUCCAGACUUAACCAAAAAGACUUUAAUAGUCAAAAAAGGCCACAAAGCAAAAGGCCAAUGGGCAAAAACACACACAGGAACUGGGGGCAAAAAGGCACACAGGAACCGAGAACAUCCAGGACGAUAGACAAUGACGCGACAAGUGACACAAGAGACACACGGCUUAAAUAUACCUGGGAGGUGAAGGUGAUUGGACACAGGUGGAAACAAUCAGACAAUUACAGGGGAUGACAGGACCAGGCAGGAAGUGAAGUUACCCAGGGAGACAAUAAGCAGAAAACUACAAAAUAAGACAGGAAAUAAAACCACACCGUGACAGUAACAGAUUAUCCCUGUUUAACUGAUGUUGUCUGAUUGUGUACUAUCAACCUGAAUUGAAUUAAUUAUAUGACUAUUGAUUGUUUCCUUUUAAAUGCCAUCGGAAAUAUACUAGAAUUUGGCUCCCAAAUUACAUUUUGACAGGAUUUAAUUUUGAAAUGCUACAUCCGAAUGUCCUGAUUAUCCAAAACUAAUAUAAAUUGAACAAAAGUUGGCUCAUGAAUGAGAUUUUAAAGGAAGUUGGCUCAUGUAUAACAUUGUUUGAAAUGCUACAUAAGAAUAGGUAUUUCUUGAUAUUUUCUGGUCUGUCUGAAUGAAUUAUUUCUAUAUGUAUUUGAAUAAUUACACAAUUGACAUAACAUUAUCAUUUAUAGACUAUAUAUCUAGUUCUUAGAUAGAUAGAUAGAUAGAUAGGUACUUUAUUGAUCCCUCAAGAGGGAAAUGUUGGUAUCACAGCAGCAUGUACAGGGAAGAAAAUAGAAUAAAAAGAUACACAUUAUAUACAAUAUAAUAAGAUAGAAAUAUUAAAUUAUUAUAUUAAAUUAAAUAAACUAAAACUGAAACAAAAGAAUAACCUUCCAAAAGAGACAAUAAUAAUAAUUUGUAAAAGGAGAAGAGGAAGAUGAAGAGCAGCAACAUCACAGCAGUACAGGGUUAUUAUUGUCAUUAUUUAGCCUGGGAUGAUUUAUUGUAAAGUGUUAUUGCACUGGGCAGGAAUGAUCUCCUGUAUCAGUCCUUGUGACAGCGGAGCUGAAGGAGUCUGUUGGAGAACGCGCUCCGCUGUCCCUGUAGCAGGUGGUGAAGGGGG
Molecule: long non-coding RNA, 1668 nt
Organism: Gasterosteus aculeatus aculeatus (three-spined stickleback)
Lineage: Eukaryota; Metazoa; Chordata; Actinopteri; Perciformes; Gasterosteidae
Source: Ensembl